RNAcentral lists this ribosomal RNA (468 nucleotides) under uncultured bacterium. RNAcentral's name for it is "partial 16S ribosomal RNA". It matches the Rfam family "Bacterial small subunit ribosomal RNA", at positions 28 to 507 of the family's 1533-position model. The record is from RNAcentral.
GACGAACGCUGGCGGCGUGCUUAACACAUGCAAGUCGAACGGAAAGGCCCUGCUUUUGUGGGGUGCUCGAGUGGCGAACGGGUGAGUAACACGUGAGUAACCUGCCCUUGACUUUGGGAUAACUUCAGGAAACUGGGGCUAAUACCGGAUAGGAGCUCCUGCUGCAUGGUGGGGGUUGGAAAGCUUCGGCGGUUGGGGAUGGACUCGCGGCUUAUCAGCUUGUUGGUGGGGUAGUGGCUUACCAAGGCUUUGACGGGUAGCCGGCCCGAGAGGGUGGCCGGCCACAUGGCGACUGGGAUAGGGCCCAGACUCCUACGGGAGGCAGCAGGGGAGAAUAUUGCCCAAUGGGCGGAAGCCUGAUGCAGCAACGCCGCGUGCGGGAUGACGGCUUUCGGGUUGUAAACCGCUUUCGCCUGUGACGAAGCGUGAGUGACGGUAAUGGGUAAAGAAGCACCGGCUAACUACGUG